AAGCGGAGCGACAUUUCUUACUACUGGAACUAGUUUGUCUGCAACAAGAGCAAACCAACUAAAAACUUUGUUUUAUUCUUCAGUCAAAAAUGCGUCCUAGAAUUCAAGUCAAAUAUGUUACAGAACACAUGAACUAUUUAAAAGAAAAUAUACACGUCAUUAAACCUGUGGUUGAAGCUUUACAAGUUGCUGUACAAAACAGCAAGACUUGGUUAGAAGAUAAAAGUGACAACAAAUCUGUGACAUACUGUGA
Molecule: long non-coding RNA, 253 nt
Organism: Physella acuta
Lineage: Eukaryota; Metazoa; Mollusca; Gastropoda; Physidae
Source: RefSeq, a predicted model, not a curated record